GACGAACGCUGGCGGCGUGCCUAAUACAUGCAAGUCGAACGAACGGAUAAAGAGCUUGCUCUUUUGAAGUUAGUGGCGGACGGGUGAGUAACACGUGGGUAACCUGCCUCACAGCUGGGGAUAACAUCGAGAAAUCGAUGCUAAUACCGAAUGUGCUGAACAUCAUAAGAUGUUCAAGUGAAAGACGGUUUCGGCUGUCACUGUGAGAUGGACCCGCGCUGGAUUAGCUAGUUGGUAAGGUAAUGGCUUACCAAGGCGACGAUCCAUAGCCGACCUGAGAGGGUGAUCGGCCACAUUGGGACUGAGACACGGCCCAAACUCCUACGGGAGGCAGCAGUAGGGAAUCUUCGGCAAUGGACGAAAGUCUGACCGAGCAACGCCGCGUGAGCGAAGAAGGCCUUCGGGUCGUAAAGCUCUGUUGUUAGAGAAGAACAUGGGUGAGAGUAACUGUUCACCCCUUGACGGUAUCUAACCAGAAAGCAACGGCUAACUACGUG
RNAcentral lists this ribosomal RNA (497 nucleotides) under uncultured bacterium. RNAcentral describes it as "partial 16S ribosomal RNA". It matches the Rfam family "Bacterial small subunit ribosomal RNA", at positions 28 to 507 of the family's 1533-position model. The record is from RNAcentral.